This is a long non-coding RNA of Notolabrus celidotus (New Zealand spotty), 580 nucleotides long. RefSeq lists it as uncharacterized. Lineage: Eukaryota; Metazoa; Chordata; Actinopteri; Labriformes; Labridae. The transcript is spliced from 5 exons. The record is from RefSeq and is a predicted model, not a curated record.
AUUUGUUUUGCUGGCAAAACAUUUAAUCUCCCUGGGUCUUUAGGCUCUUUCAGCCCUGAUUGUUUUGCGACAGGAAACGAAGGCGGCCGUUCAGUGAUUUCCCUCCAUCAUCCACUUCCUCCGAUAAUAUUUGCUCUGGGCCGCCAGCUGAAGUGAUGAGAGCCAGGACAAUGCUUUGGCUUCUGAAUCAUCUCAUCUGUUCUGCUCUGUCAAGGAUAUCUGGACUCAAGAGGAGCAAAAGAGACACCAGUUUUGUAAAUGUUUUGCUGGCCCUGUGACUGACUGGUGACCUGUCCAAGAUGUUCCCUGCCUCUUGUUCAUUGAUUGGCUCCAGACCACAGCAACCCACAACAGGCAGUGACGGUGUAUUUGUCAGGAGGACAGAGAAACCCCACAGCAUCCGUCACCUUCACACAGAGCAGCCCUGGGUCCUAACAGCACGCUCCGCUCCCUCUCUCAGCUGGGAACAAACAGACCUCGGAGUGUGUCACAAAGGUUUGGAUGUCGGUACUGUGACAAUCCACCACUGUUUGGAAAAAAGACCUCUACAGUGAUACAUGAGUUUAUAUUUGACUCUGUG